This 310-nucleotide unclassified non-coding RNA is filed under the name Hevea brasiliensis (rubber tree). The record is from RNAcentral. Lineage: Eukaryota; Viridiplantae; Streptophyta; Magnoliopsida; Malpighiales; Euphorbiaceae.
UGCAUAAAGAAUGUUUGAAUCUUCAAGACGCGAGUAGAUAUCAAGGCUACAAAAUUAAAAGAUAUUAUAUAUGAAAUUUUGUUUGCAAAUCUAUAAGCUGCAUAAAUAAUUGAAAAAUGAAGGGUUCAGCAGGUCCCAAUAUCCUUCAGCUAAGCUGUCUCGUUACCUAAUUUUGUAGGGAAACAUAUUUUGUUACGAUGAUUAGCAAUGUUCUUAUAUCAUGAGAUCUAGCCUGCUCUGGUGGAACGAGUUUGUGAAUAUGAAAACUGAACACCAGUGACUUUGAAUUGGUUUCUACUUUCUACUGCUG